Molecule: RNA transcript, 947 nt
Organism: Enhydra lutris kenyoni (northern sea otter)
Lineage: Eukaryota; Metazoa; Chordata; Mammalia; Carnivora; Mustelidae
Gene name: RNA-binding protein Raly pseudogene
Exons: 1
Source: RefSeq, a predicted model, not a curated record
ACAAAAGAGAAAAUUGUGGGCUGAGCUGAGUCUUGGUACUGGUGGCCACCAUGUCCUUGAAGAUCCAGACAAGCAACGUAACUAACAAGAAUGACCCCAAGUCUAUCAACUCUCGGGUCUUCAUCGGAAACCUCAACACAGCUGUGGUGAAGAAGUCAGAUGUGGAGACCAUUUUCUCCAAGUAUGGCCGUGUGGCCGGCUGUUCUGUGCACAAAGGCUAUGCCUUUGUCCAGUAUGCCAACGAGCGUCAUGCCCGGGCAGCUGUGCUGGGAGAGAAUGGGCGGGUGCUGGCCGGGCAGACCCUGGAUAUCAACAUGGCUGGAGAGCCCAAGCCCAACAGACCUAAGGGGCUAAAGAGAGUGGCAUCUGCCAUAUACAGGCUCUUCGACUAUCGGGGCCGCCUGUCACCUGUGCCAGUGCCCAGGGCCGUCCCUGUGAAGCGACCCCGGGUCACAGUCCCCUUGGUCCGGCGCAUCAAAACCACCAUACCUGUCAAGCUCUUUGCCCGCUCCACAGCCAUUACUGCCAGCUCAGCCAAGAUCAAGUUAAAGAGCAGCGAGCUGCUGACCAUCAAGACAGAGCUGACACAGAUCAAGUCCAGCAUCGACGCUCUGCUGGGCCGCUUGGAGCAGAUUGCUGAGGAGCAGAAGGCCAACACAGAUGGCAAGAAGAAGGGCGAAAGCAGCAGUGGCAGUGGUGGGGGUAGUAGUGGUGGCAGCAGCCGGCCACCGGCCCCCCGAGAGGACACGGCUUCUGAGGCAGGCACGCCCCAGGGAGAAGCACAGACUCGAGACGACGGCGAUGAGGAGGGGCUGCUGACACACAGUGAGGAAGAACGGGAGCACAGCCAGGACACAGACGCGGAGGAUGGGGCCUUGCAGUAAGCAGCCUGGCAGGAGUGAUGGCCACCGGCAGCAGAAGGGCAUGCACCGUACCAGGCCUAAAGC